AACGAACGCUGGCGGCAGGCUUAACACAUGCAAGUCGAACGCCCCGCAAGGGGAGUGGCAGACGGGUGAGUAACGCGUGGGAAUCUACCGUACCCUAAGGAACAACAGUUGGAAACGACUGCUAAUACCGUAUACGCCCUCAGGGUGAAAGAUUUAUCGGGGUAUGAUGAGCCCGCGUUGGAUUAGCUGGUUGGUGGGGUAAAGGCCUGCCAAGGCGACGAUCCAUAGCUGGUCUGAGAGGAUGAGCAGCCACACUGGGACUGAGACACGGCCCAAACUCCUACGGGAGGCAGCAGUGGGGAAUAUUGGACAAUGGGCGCAAGCCUGAUCCAGCCAUGCCGCGUGAGUGAUGAAGGUCUUAGGAUUGUAAAGCUCUUUCACCGAUGAAGAUAAUGACGGUAGUCGGAGAAGAAGCCCCGGCUAACUUCGUGCCAGCCGCCGCAGUAA
Molecule: ribosomal RNA, 447 nt
Filed under: uncultured bacterium
Lineage: Bacteria
Description: partial 16S ribosomal RNA
Rfam family: Bacterial small subunit ribosomal RNA
Source: RNAcentral